This 280-nucleotide long non-coding RNA is filed under the name Brachypodium distachyon (stiff brome). Its description in RNAcentral is "long non-coding RNA (BDIS_LNC003160)". Lineage: Eukaryota; Viridiplantae; Streptophyta; Magnoliopsida; Poales; Poaceae. The record is from RNAcentral.
CGACAGGAGAACAACCGUUGCGAACAACAUAAACAAAAAAGACAAAAAACUUCCAAAAUGUGCCUGGACUCAAGCCAAGCCUAAUCAGGCGAUCAGCACACGACGAGAUGCAGAAGCUUGUGGAGUCCCAGAUCCCUCCACGACAAGUGUUCUCCUUUUCUUCAGCAUGGUAGAAACCGAGGGGCUUCUGCCGCCUUGCUCUCCAGCGCAGCCAAGCACUUGUCCAGUUUCGCAUAUCUCUUCUUGGGGCAUAGCACCCUCCAUCUCUUCAGCAGACACA